GUAGAUCAAUAUUUUAUAAAUCGAUGGUUUCGAUAGAAUUUAAAUACAACUUCCUCGAGAGAUGACGCGGGAGGACAAGACGAGAAGGCAACACCUGGCGAGAGCAAUCAGAGGAGCAGUUCAACAGUACCUCUAUGAAAACGUACCACAGCCAAUUGGUACGAUGACGAGAAAUAACAGAUCGGAUGGAAAGUUGAAGGUCAAAGGUGCUGGUAUGGCGGAGGAGAGAAUUCAGCGAAUAUAAUUUUAUCACCGGAGACGAUUCAAGGUCAACUCGGGUGGCACAUCGAGACAAAUAUUAUUGUACAUCUGCGAAUCUGCUAAUAUGAACCAACACAAUGCAGAGCAUCGGGAAAAACAACAACAACAACAAUGACAACAAAACAACAACAACAACCACAACAACAACAAUUCAUACAGACAUAUGAUGAGAGGAGGACGUCUUCAAAGUUUUCCAAAUUAACCGAUAUAAUGUAAUGUUCACCAACCGCAUUACAUUCACCAUUGAAAAAGCACUUACUCCGUGCUUUAUACAACAACAAUUAACAGUAACCAUAAUCAGGAAUACAACAUUUCGACAUCAUCGAAAGCUUUGGAAUUUAAGUCAACUAAUUACAAACUCUUUAAAGAGUGUGCAACAGUUCCACAAUUUGCACCAGGUCAAAGACAACAAUAUUCGCAUCACUAUUGAGAUUGAUCCAAUACCAACAAAAUUCAGAAGGAGGGCGAUAAUUAAUCAACCACAACACCGUAAACGACAAUGAUAAACAAUCCAGUUCGGAAGGCAACUUGAGACACUUUUUCGAGAAACAACAGAAAACAACAGUAAAACUAUUUUUUUUUUGUAUACAAACGAUAACGCGGGAAUUACAAGCAUGGAAUACGAUUCGAUCGAGAUAAUAUCCGCACACCAAAAUUUCAUGGCUAUGACAGGAGACAACAUCAACUAAAGCAACUACAUCAUCUCCAAGACAAACCAGAGAGCAACGAUACCACUCAUCUGAGACGUUAGACUAACCAAGCGAUCUGGACAUUUAACAAGAAAAGGUAAAUAUCAAUGGCAGCCGAACUCCUACGACGAACCAAGAGGAGCAGCAGCGAGUACCAAUGAAGUCAAUCUCUUGAGGAAGAAUGUAAGUUAAUGCGGUAAAUUUACAAUUCUUUUGGAAGUUGAAAAACUGUAAUGUAAAACAUUUUGAGACACUUACAGGGAAGAUGAAGAUUAGUAUAGCAAUUUCAGAUUAUAUAUUAACAAUCAUCGCUAGCAUCAUCAUUUAAAUGCUGAGUUUUUUUUUCGGGGGAUACAUUUUACCCACAUACUAACAUUUGAACGUGAAAUUUUAUACACGUUCAAACUCCGCUAAGUGGGAGGGCAUGCAUAGACCUAAAUAUUCCCACGCACUCCGAUAUUCAAAGUCAAUUCAACUGAAACAAAAAUGCAUUUUCACCCCACAUUCCCAACAGCUGCCCGGGGGAUUUUAGAUUCAAUUUUCAUCGUAGGGUCUACCUACCUCACGCGCGGCAUUUUGGAAGCAACGAAAAUCGCGCCAUUCGUUAUUGACCUAGUUUUUAUAACCCAUCAUCGUCCGGUGGUGGCCGGGUGCGAUCGUGUUGCAACGCGUUAGGUCCGGUCGGUGUGAUGCAAUUUCAAUUACGCUUGGGACAACGAUGGGUAAUAAACCCGAAAGAAUGAUAUGGAACCGCGACAUCAUAUUGAUCGCGCUGGAACAAAGAUUGUUUAUUUUUGUUUCGAAAUCAAGGCGCCGAAUUGGCCGGGUAAGGUUCACUGUGCCCAAGUAAGGUACACUUCAAUAACAAAGCGGGUGCUUUGUUUUGGAGAAUUUGGUGCCAAAUUCCAAAGACGAUGAGGAUGAUGAUGGUGACGAUGAUGAUGAUGGGGAGAAUGAUAAUGACGUCGAUGGUGGGGUUCAAUUCUUUCACACACCCAAGCCUUGUAUAUGCUCAAGUGAGGCGGGGCUAGAAGAUGUAGGCCUUGGUGUAAAGAUUCUCAGUAGGUUUUGUGCGAACACGCCCAAGUCAGGCGUGGUUAGGAGAUUUAAGUUUUUCGUUGGCAUUAAUAUUCUUGGUAGGGCUUGGGAUACGCCCAAGAUAGAAGAGUCGUGAUGUUUUCAAGAAGAGAAGGAUUUUAAUCACGAUGAGGACAAGUAGGAUAGGUAGAGGUCUAGGUUUUGGACUUAUUAGUAUUUUCAUUUGGUAGGGUUUUGGAUACGCCCAAGUUGGUUCGGGCAUUGUUAGGAAUUAUCAUGACAUCUUCGGCAAGACGAGAAUGAUCGUAGGAAUUUUAGACACGCCCAAGCUGGUUCGGGUCUUGCUUGGAAAUUUAGGCUAUAAAUACGGAGGCUUUGGCUUCAGUCGGGGCCAGUAGUCGGAGAGUUCGGUGACAACGUUAACGCAGGCAGCACAUCGGAUAAGUCUUGAGCUCCCAUGUGGGACACCUCUAGAUACUGUCCAAAUAAAGGCUGUAGGUAGGACGUAGUAGUCGGGUCAAGAAGAAGCUGGAAGUGUCUCUAGUAGUUCGGUGAAGAAAUACUGAAAAUGUUAGGGUAAUAUAAGAACAAGUGAAUCGUUGUAAUAUAAGUGAUGGUUUGUGAUACUUCAAUAUAGUUUAUUAAAACUGU
Aedes albopictus (Asian tiger mosquito) is the source of this 2639-nucleotide long non-coding RNA. RefSeq lists it as uncharacterized. The transcript has 2 exons. NCBI's taxonomy places the organism in Eukaryota, Metazoa, Arthropoda, Insecta, Diptera, Culicidae. The record is from RefSeq and is a predicted model, not a curated record.